RNAcentral lists this ribosomal RNA (487 nucleotides) under uncultured bacterium. Its description in RNAcentral is "bacterial SSU rRNA". It matches the Rfam family "Bacterial small subunit ribosomal RNA", at positions 28 to 507 of the family's 1533-position model. The record is from RNAcentral.
GAUGAACGCUAGCGACAGGCUUAACACAUGCAAGUCGAGGGGCAGCGAGGGCGUAGCAAUACGCCUGUCGGCGACCGGCGCACUGGUGAGUAACACGUAUGCGACCUGCCCCCUACAGGGGUAUAACCCGUAGAAAUGCGGACUAAUCCCCCAUAGUCCUGGGUGCUGCAUGGCAUUCAGGGGAAAGGCCAGCCGGUAGGGGAUGGGCAUGCGGCGCAUUAGCUAGUUGGCGGGGUAACGGCCCACCAAGGCGACGAUCAGUAGGGGUUCUGAGAGGAAGGUCCCCCCANAUUGGAACUGAGACACGGUCCAAACUCCUACGGGAGGCAGCAGUGAGGAAUAUUGGUCAAUGGGCAGAGCCUGAACCAGCCAAGUAGCGUGCAGGAUGACGGCCCUAUGGGUUGUAAACUGCUUUUAUAAGGGAAUAAAGUGAGCCACGUGUGGUUUUUUGCAUGUACCCUAUGAAUAAGGACCGGCUAAUUCCGUG